This 253-nucleotide ribosomal RNA is filed under the name uncultured bacterium. RNAcentral describes it as "partial 16S ribosomal RNA". It matches the Rfam family "Bacterial small subunit ribosomal RNA", at positions 524 to 776 of the family's 1533-position model. The record is from RNAcentral.
GACGAAGGAUGCAAGCGUUAUCCGGAUUCAUUGGGUUUAAAGGGAGCGUAGGUGGCCUUAUAAGUCAGUGGUGAAAUCUCGCAGCUUAACUGCGAGAUUGCCAUUGAUACUGUAGGGCUUGAGUAUAGUUGCCGUUGGCGGAAUAUGACAUGUAGUGGUGAAAUACAUAGAGAUGUCAUAGAACACCGAUUGCGAAGGCAGCUGACGAAACUAUAACUGACACUGAGGCUCGAAAGUGCGGGGAUCAAACAGG